AUUGAUUAAGCCGACAAAAUUAAAAAUAUUAAUUCAAUUAAGUGUGUUUAAAAAUAAAGAUAAAUCCAAAAGAGUAAUUGAUAACACUGGCACCGAUUCUGAUUGGGAGACCGCCGACGACGGACUCGCUGCUGUAAGGGUUCCUAACGGCGGUGGCAGGGGAGGGUGGGCGCGAGAAGGGUGGCAGAAAGGAUCCGCCGACGGCAGCGAAUCUUCCUGUGACGGAUCGGGAGCGGAGGACCGCCGACGAGGACAUAUGAUUUCUAACGAAGAAAAAAGAAAACCUUAAAAGUCCCCAAAACAAAAGGGAAAAUAAAAUAAAGAUUAUAAUGAAAAAAAGAUUAACAUUGUACCUUAGGAUGGAUGAUGGAUCAACGCCCCCUGGUCAAUGCUUCGUCUCUUGCCGUCUUACCGCGAUGAGACGCCCUGCAGAGAGUGGAUGAGUCGCGUUGGAG
This 455-nucleotide long non-coding RNA is filed under the name Musa acuminata (dwarf banana). Its description in RNAcentral is "long non-coding RNA (MACU_LNC009074)". Lineage: Eukaryota; Viridiplantae; Streptophyta; Magnoliopsida; Zingiberales; Musaceae. The record is from RNAcentral.